Molecule: long non-coding RNA, 667 nt
Organism: Brassica rapa (field mustard)
Lineage: Eukaryota; Viridiplantae; Streptophyta; Magnoliopsida; Brassicales; Brassicaceae
Source: RefSeq, a predicted model, not a curated record
GACUGUGAAACCUUCUGCUGAUGCUGGAUCAUUCACAUCCCAUUCUCCAAACUUGGGCAAGGGGCGGCCUUUGUCCUGUCAUAAAUGUGAAACCAGAGAAACAAAAUUAAAAUUUCAAAAAUCAAUGCUUAAACCCUUUUGUGGCAAUACAUCAGAGAAACGUUGUGUGUUCACACGUUGUUAAGGGGCAUGUGACCUUUCCAAAAUGAGUUUAAAUACCAUCAACCAUAGGAGGUUUGUACAAUAGCUUAAACUAAUCAUCUUUCCAUUUCUCAGCAAACAUUAUACACACACUAAGUCAAAAAAGAUUACCAAAAACUAACCGUAAGAGAAGUUCCUUUCCACUUUAUUAGGUGACAAGCAAACGAAUUUUCAAACUAGUGAAAUCAAAUUUUUUGUCUCUAAAUUAAUUAUGCCUGUCCAUAAACACAAUAUUCAUAUGCCUCUUCACCUCUCAUAUAAACCAAGAACAAUCUCUGAAAAGUGAUCCGAGGAGACAACUUCUCUAAGCUAAGCUUUGAUCAAAAAAUAUCUAAGCUAAAAGACAAAUCAAUCCUCAUCAAAAGAACUCUUCCAAGUUGAUUUUUCUGUUAUAAAUCUAAGCUUAAUCAAACAAAUUCAAAAUUGAAUAGAAGCCAAAGAUCGAAACUUUAAAAGUUAUAAAUCA